AUGAAACAGAAUUAAAAAAAAGGUAUCACAUGGAGAACCUCGAUAGAAGCAGAACGCAGAGGAAAGAAGCCAUAAAGUUGUCCAUAUGAUGAUAAUCACAAUCGAUAAAAAAGUGUGCAUCAACUAAAUCGUUAAGAUUAAAACAUCAAUGUCUAUCUGAAUAGGACUAUGAAACCACCUCAAAGGUUCAACAUUUGCACAAGUAACACCAAUUGAAACAGAAUACAGGACAAUAAACUCACUGAUCCUAAGCGGUCCUUUUACUAUCAUUAAAACUUUAAAAACAGGUUAUACCAGGCUGAGAACACAACAAAAAAGACAAGGGCAAUCCUUAGCUUCUGCAUAGAAAACAGCAACAUUUACAAGUCCUAAUACCAUUCAAACGUAAAACUACUCAACAGGUUGAUAAUCCAUCAAACUACAAAAGACAGUCCUUAGCGACAUUUAGGAUCUUCUUCAGACUUGACACUAGCAUCUCGAUAACACAACAACUUUGCAAAGAAGAGGUCUUUUUUAAGCAGAUGAUAAUAGUUUACCUGAGUGGUGAGGAGCAGGAUAGCCUGCAGGUGGAUAACCGGCAUGGCCAGGAGCAGGAGGAUAACCACCGGGUGCACCUGGAUAUCCUGCGGGUGGGUAACCCUGUUGUGGCGGGUAACCCUGUUGCGGAGGGUAACCAGCGGGCGGGUACCCUCCAGGAGCGGGUGGGUAAUGAUGUCCAAAACCAUGAAACCCUUUCUCUUGCUCAUCAUGAUGCUUGUCUUUACCACCUCCCAUUGUUUUCUUACUCAAUUAUUCAGCAAAAUUUUAAAAACCUACAAGAGUUUGAUAUAUACAUCAACAUCAGGUUCAAAGAUCACGCAAAACUGAACAUUUGACUUGCUAGAUUUCGAAACAAAGAAAUCUGGUUAACAAGUCUUGACGGAUCAUACCAACCAAAAUGAGAAAACAUCUGUUCUGCAAAUAAAUCACAUCGAUGGUCAUUGAUCCUAGGCAAAUUCGACGAAUAACGAAAUCCAAUAAUUCAGAUUUGUUUCUAAUCGAAACCAUUAGCGACUCGUUAACAUAAUCAUCGAUCGAUAUAGCUCAAGAUGGAUCCAAAUACAAAAGCCAGAGAUCAUUUCCGCAACGAAUAAACACGAUCCAAUCAUACAAAAACAAAGAGAGGAAACGAAAAAUAGAGAAAAUGGAGAAAUUUUUAC
RNAcentral lists this long non-coding RNA (1199 nucleotides) under Eutrema salsugineum. RNAcentral describes it as "long non-coding RNA (ESAL_LNC002117)". Lineage: Eukaryota; Viridiplantae; Streptophyta; Magnoliopsida; Brassicales; Brassicaceae. The record is from RNAcentral.